UAAAAAAGAAACCAUAGAGAAUGUUGCAACAGAACAAGUAGAAUUCCCAGAAGGAAGCCAAAAACACCAACAUUUCUAUUCUGGAAAGAAAAAUCAUCAGCCAUGAAGAGGUACAAAUUCAAGUUGAAAUUACACUUGAUGACAAGAUGUUGUUCCUAGCAAUCAAAUGGCUCUAUUCUGAUAGGUUCUUAUGUCCUCAAUUAUUAACCCAACUGUAGGAAUGAGAAGAACAGAUUAAAGCGAAGGGAUAGAUAUUGCGGAAGACUGAAAAUCUUCGUGAUGAAACCGGUCUGAAAUAUUUUAUUCGUUGAGAAGUAUAUACUCGUACAUGCCGAAAAUGUGGCUAUGAAGUAAGGGAUUGCUGGAUCAAAUGAAGCAUUUUAAAGCAAUAGCACAAGCACGUCAUGUGUCACCAUCUGUGCAAUGCAAAGUUCUUAUUUAAGCCAGCGACCGACAGGCGAAGAAUUGCAGUCUCCACAAGCCCUUCUGUUGGCAAUCGUUCAUUUAAUCGUUAAUUCACUAUAAUCAAAAGUACGAUGAAGUGAAGCUUAAGGGAAGUAGAUGGUCUUCGAACUUAACUUAAAUGCCUUCGAAUUCAUCAAUGAUAUAUUGCUGUCGAUGCCGUCAACAUAUUCAAUUUAAUUCAAACCCAACUCCAGGAAUAACUUCAUCAAUUUAGUUUUUUGAGAUAUUAUUUUUUUUAAAUAGAAGGUACUCAUAUACAUAUAAG
Molecule: long non-coding RNA, 730 nt
Organism: Eupeodes corollae
Lineage: Eukaryota; Metazoa; Arthropoda; Insecta; Diptera; Syrphidae
Exons: 3
Source: RefSeq, a predicted model, not a curated record